RNAcentral lists this transfer RNA (76 nucleotides) under Ancylobacter koreensis. Its description in RNAcentral is "tRNA-Lys". It matches the Rfam family "tRNA". Rfam says of the family: Transfer RNA (tRNA) molecules are approximately 80 nucleotides in length. Their secondary structure includes four short double-helical elements and three loops (D, anti-codon, and T loops). Lineage: Bacteria; Pseudomonadati; Pseudomonadota; Alphaproteobacteria; Hyphomicrobiales; Xanthobacteraceae. The record is from RNAcentral. RNAcentral also lists the same sequence under 3 other names.
GAGCCCGUAGCUCAGCCGGUAGAGCACGUGACUUUUAAUCAUGGGGUCUUGGGUUCGAAUCCCAACGGGCUCACCA